UCCGUAGGCGGUGUGGCAAGCCGGUAGUGAAAUCUCUCGGCUUAACUGAGAGGCUGCUGCCGAAACUGCCAUGCUCGAGUGCGAGAGAGGCGAGUGGAAUUGCGGGUGUAGCGGUGAAAUGCGUAGAUAUCCGCAGGAACAUCCGAGGCGAAAGCGGCUCGCUGGAUCGCAACUGACGCUGAGGGACGAAAGCUAGGGGAGCAAACAGGAUUAGAUACCCUGGUAGUCCUAGCCCUAAACCAUCAGGACUUGGGGUUUGCCCUGUACGGGGCAAGUCCCGGAGCUAACGCGUUAAGUCCUGCGCCUGGGGAGUACGGUCGCAAGGCUGAA
RNAcentral lists this ribosomal RNA (330 nucleotides) under uncultured bacterium. Its description in RNAcentral is "bacterial SSU rRNA". It matches the Rfam family "Bacterial small subunit ribosomal RNA", at positions 568 to 898 of the family's 1533-position model. The record is from RNAcentral.